RNAcentral lists this transfer RNA (70 nucleotides) under Streptococcus mutans. Its description in RNAcentral is "tRNA-Asp". The stretch from base 7 to 66 matches the Rfam family "tRNA", at positions 7 to 64 of the family's 71-position model. From Rfam's summary of the family: Transfer RNA (tRNA) molecules are approximately 80 nucleotides in length. Their secondary structure includes four short double-helical elements and three loops (D, anti-codon, and T loops). Lineage: Bacteria; Bacillati; Bacillota; Bacilli; Lactobacillales; Streptococcaceae. The record is from RNAcentral.
GGUCCCGUGGUGUAGCGGUUAUCACGUCGCCCUGUCACGGCGAAGAUCGCGGGUUCGAUUCUCGUCACCC